Molecule: ribosomal RNA, 158 nt
Filed under: Ophiocordyceps sinensis
Lineage: Eukaryota; Fungi; Ascomycota; Sordariomycetes; Hypocreales; Ophiocordycipitaceae
Description: 5.8S ribosomal RNA
Rfam family: 5.8S ribosomal RNA
About the family: 5.8S ribosomal RNA (5.8S rRNA) is a component of the large subunit of the eukaryotic ribosome.
Source: RNAcentral
ACUUUCAACAACGGAUCUCUUGGUUCUGGCAUCGAUGAAGAACGCAGCGAAAUGCGAUAAGUAAUGUGAAUUGCAGAAUUCAGUGAACCAUCGAAUCUUUGAACGCACAUUGCGCCCGCCAGCACUCUGGCGGGCAUGCCUGUCCGAGCGUCGUCUCA